This 460-nucleotide ribosomal RNA is filed under the name uncultured bacterium. RNAcentral's name for it is "partial 16S ribosomal RNA". It matches the Rfam family "Bacterial small subunit ribosomal RNA", at positions 338 to 795 of the family's 1533-position model. The record is from RNAcentral.
CCUACGUGGGGCAGCAGUGAGGAAUAUUGGUCAAUGGCCGUAAGGCUGAACCAGCGAAGUCGCGUGAAGGAAGAAGGAUCUAUGGUUUGUAAACUUCUUUUAUAGGGGAAUAAAGGUAUCCACGUGUGGAUCUUUGCAUGUACCCUAUGAAUAAGCAUCGGCUAACUCCGUGCCAGCCGCCGCGGUAAUACGGAGGAUGCGAGCGUUAUCCGGAUUUAUUGGGUUUAAAGGGUGCGUAGGUUGUUUUUUAAGUCAGCGGUGAAAGUUUGUGGCUCAACCAUAAAAUUGCCGUUGAAACUGGAAGACUUGAGUGUGUUUGAGGUAGGCGGAAUGCGUGGUGUAGCGGUGAAAUGCAUAGAUAUCACGCAGAACUCCGAUUGCGAAGGCAGCUUACUAAGCCAUAACUGACACUGAAGCACGAAAGCGUGGGGAUCAAACAGGAUUAGAUACCCCUGUAGUC